UCAUUAUUGAAUUUGANGGGCUGNUGCUGAUCAUCNNAUAUGUGCACGCCAUUAUUUCCAAGNUUACACUUGUGCACUUUUGUAGACUGAUUUCAUAGCGGAUCAGUCUAUGUUUUUCAAAUCAACUCUUUAUUAAAAUAGUGAAUGUCUUGUCUCGCCUUGCUUAUUUAUUAUGCAAGUGACAAAUCAAUACAACUUUCAACAACGGAUCUCUUGGCUCUCGCAUCGAUGAAGAACGCAGCGAAAUGCGAUAAGUAAUGUGAAUUGCAGAAUUCAGUGAAUCAUCGAAUCUUUGAACGCACCUUGCGCUCCUUGGUAUUCCGAGGAGCAUGCUUGUUUGAGUGUCAUUAAAUUAUCAAUAUCUACGAACUAGUUUUGUAGGUGCUUGGAUUUGGAGAAUUUUUGCUGGCUUUUACAAGUUGGCUUCUCUUAAAUGUAUCAGCAUUAUCUUGUGUGGAUAAGCUUUGGNUUGAUAAAUUAUCUAUGCCAUUGCUUUGAG
This 499-nucleotide ribosomal RNA is filed under the name uncultured fungus from ectomycorrhizal root. Its description in RNAcentral is "eukaryotic LSU rRNA". The stretch from base 194 to 347 matches the Rfam family "5.8S ribosomal RNA". Lineage: Eukaryota; Fungi. The record is from RNAcentral.